GUUUGAUCAUGGCUCAGGAUGAACGCUGGCGGCAUGCCUAAUACAUGCAAGUCGAACGGAGUGAAGCCUUCGGGUUUCAUUCAGUGGCGAACGGGUGAGUAAUACGCAGGGAACCUGGCCAUGGCAGGGGGAUACACUCUGGAAACGGAGCAUAAGACCCCAUAGGCAGUAAGGCGGCAUCGCCUUACUGUUAAAGAAAGCUGAAAGGCUUUGGCGAUGGAUGGACCUGCGGUGCAUUAGCUUGUUGGUGAGGCAACGGCUUACCAAGGCGAUGAUGCAUAGCCGGCCUGAGAGGGCGGACGGCCACACUGGGACUGAGACACGGCCCAGACUCCUGCGGGAGGCAGCAGUAGGGAAUUUUCGUCAAUGGGCGCAAGCCUGAACGAGCAAUGCCGCGUGAGUGAGGAAGGUCUUCGGACUGUAAAGCUCUGUUGCCGGGGAAAAAGGGGAAAUGCAGGAAAUGGCAUUUCAUGGAUGGUACCCGGCCAGAAAGCCACGGCUAACUACGUGCCAGCAGCCGCGGUAAUACGUAGGUGGCGAGCGUUAUCCGGAAUGAUUGGGCGUAAAGGGUGCGCAGGCGGUCUGUUAAGUCUGAAGGCAAAGGGAUGAGCUCAACUCAUUUAUGAUUCAGAAACUGGCAGACUUGAGGACAGGAGAGGGCGGUGGAACUCCAUGUGUAGCGGUAAAAUGCGCAGAGAUAUGGAAGAACACCAGUGGCGAAGGCGGCCGCCUGGCCUGUGACUGACGCUGAGGCACGAAAGCGUGGGGAGCAAAUAGGAUUAGAUACCCUAGUAGUCCACGCCGUAAACGAUGAGGAGCAGGUGUUGGGAGUGAAAUCUCAGUGCCGAAGCCAACGCAGUGACUCCUCCGCCUGGGGAGUAUGCACGCAAGUGUGAAACUCAAAGGAAUUGACGGGGGCCCGCACAAGCGGUGGAGUAUGUGGUUUAAUUCGAAGCAACGCGAAGAACCUUACCAGGUUUUGACAUCGGAUGCGAAGGCGCAGAGAUGCGCUGGAGGCUAUCAUCCAGACAGGUGGUGCAUGGUUGUCGUCAGCUCGUGUCGUGAGAUGUUCAGUUAAGUCUGGCAACGAGCGCAACCCCCGUGGUAUGUUACUAACGCAUUUGGGCGAGGACUCAUAUCAGACUGCCGGUGACAAACCGGAGGAAGGCGGGGAUGACGUCAAAUCAUCAUGCCCCUUAUGACCUGGGCUACACACGUACUACAAUGGCGUCUACAGAGGGAAGCGACCCUGAGAAGGGAAGCGAAACCGGAAAAGGGCGUCCCAGUUCGGAUUGAAGUCUGCAACCCGACUUCAUGAAGAUGGAGUCGCUAGUAAUCGCGGAUCAGCAUGCCGCGGUGAAUACGUUCCCGGGCCUUGUACACACCGCCCGUCAAACCAUGGAAGCCGGCAACGCCCGAAGCCGGUGGCAUAACCUUUUAGGAGUGAGCCGUCGAAGGCGGGGCCGAUGACUGGGGUUAAGUCGUAACAAGGUACCC
This 1497-nucleotide ribosomal RNA is filed under the name uncultured bacterium. RNAcentral describes it as "16S ribosomal RNA". It matches the Rfam family "Bacterial small subunit ribosomal RNA". The record is from RNAcentral.